This 273-nucleotide ribosomal RNA is filed under the name uncultured Flavobacterium sp. RNAcentral's name for it is "partial 16S ribosomal RNA". It matches the Rfam family "Bacterial small subunit ribosomal RNA", at positions 524 to 796 of the family's 1533-position model. The record is from RNAcentral. Lineage: Bacteria; Pseudomonadati; Bacteroidota; Flavobacteriia; Flavobacteriales; Flavobacteriaceae.
UACGAAGGGGGCUAGCGUUAUCCGGAAUCAUUGGGUUUAAAGGGUCCGUAGGCGGUUUAAUAAGUCAGUGGUGAAAGCCCAUCGCUCAACGGUGGAACGGCCAUUGAUACUGUUAAACUUGAAUUAUUAGGGAGUAACUAGAAUAUGUAGUGUAGCGGUGAAAUGCUUAGAGAUUACAUGGAAUACCAAUUGCGAAGGCAGGUUACUACUAAUGGAUUGACGCUGAUGGACGAAAGCGUGGGUAGCGAACAGGAUUAGAAACCCUGGUAGUCC